Molecule: ribosomal RNA, 511 nt
Filed under: Fusarium solani
Lineage: Eukaryota; Fungi; Ascomycota; Sordariomycetes; Hypocreales; Nectriaceae
Description: eukaryotic LSU rRNA
Rfam family: 5.8S ribosomal RNA (bases 136-289)
Source: RNAcentral
CAUCAUCCCUGUGUACAUACCUAAAACGUUGCUUCGGCGGGAACAGACGGCCCUGUAACAACGGGCCGCCCCCGCCAGAGGACCCCUAACUCUGUUUUUAUAAUGUUUUUCUGAGUAAACAAGCAAAUAAAUUAAAACUUUCAACAACGGAUCUCUUGGCUCUGGCAUCGAUGAAGAACGCAGCGAAAUGCGAUAAGUAAUGUGAAUUGCAGAAUUCAGUGAAUCAUCGAAUCUUUGAACGCACAUUGCGCCCGCCAGUAUUCUGGCGGGCAUGCCUGUUCGAGCGUCAUUACAACCCUCAGGCCCCCGGGCCUGGCGUUGGGGAUCGGCGGAAGCCCCCUGUGGGCACACGCCGUCCCUCAAAUACAGUGGCGGUCCCGCCGCAGCUUCCAUUGCGUAGUAGCUAACACCUCGCAACUGGAGAGCGGCGCGGCCAUGCCGUAAAACACCCAACUUCUGAAUGUUGACCUCGAAUCAGGUAGGAAUACCCGCUGAACUUAAGCAUAUCAAU